This 680-nucleotide long non-coding RNA is filed under the name Gopherus agassizii (Agassiz's desert tortoise). RNAcentral describes it as "lncRNA (ENSGAGG00000016808.1)". Lineage: Eukaryota; Metazoa; Chordata; Testudines; Testudinidae. The record is from RNAcentral.
CAAAGCGGAGGGGGGUGGCGAGAGAGAGUGUGUGUGUGUAACGAGGGGAGGAGGGGGAGAGCUGGCAGCCAGCCAGCCACCAUCAGAAUUAGCUCAUUGUUCAAUAGAACCAGCACAGGCAACCAAACCCCAGCCUGGAGAGACUUUCUCCCAGCCGCCCCCACCCCUUUUCUUUUUUCCUCCAAGGCUGCUGCACUUUGGAAGAGAUCAUGUAGAAAGGACAGAAAGGGAGCAGGGGCUUUUGUCUAUUAUUCUCUUUGUGGUACCGGAGAGAAACUGCAGUCCCAAGACUUAAGAGUCUAAAAAUGGUAAGAAUUAGUUGUUUUAGCAGAGAAUCAGUAGUUUCCCAUGCUAUCAAAUAUCAGAAUUAACCUCCUUCUCCUAACCCUCACCACAUUCAGAAAUAUGAUCUUUAAAGAUAUCCUUUGGGAUUCUGGGGAUUUGCCAUACAAUGAUUAAUGUACUCUAAAGCCUUUGUGAGUUGGAUUUUUCAUUUUUAGACAUUUUCAACAGAAACCUGAAAUCCGUCCUCAUGCAGUGAGGUUUAUUUAAUCAAAACAAGAGAAAAUGUUUGCUGUCAUGUAAAGAAACAUAAGUUGCAUAGAUGGGAACAUGCAGACAAAGCAACAUGCCACCAAGUCCAUCACAAAAAACAACAAUAAAAAGAACUGAUCAUUGCA